RNAcentral lists this ribosomal RNA (493 nucleotides) under uncultured bacterium. RNAcentral describes it as "bacterial SSU rRNA". It matches the Rfam family "Bacterial small subunit ribosomal RNA", at positions 28 to 511 of the family's 1533-position model. The record is from RNAcentral.
GAUGAACGCUAGCUACAGGCUUAACACAUGCAAGUUGAGGGGCAGCAUGGUCUUAGCUUGCUAAGGCCGAUGGCGACCGGCGCACGGGUGAGUAACACGUAUCCAACCUGCCGUCUACUCUUGGACAGCCUUCUGAAAGGAAGAUUAAUACAAGAUGGCAUCAUGAGUCCGCAUGUUCACAUGAUUAAAGGUAUUCCGGUAGACGAUGGGGAUGCGUUCCAUUAGAUAGUAGGCGGGUAACGGCCCACCUAGUCUUCGAUGGAUAGGGGUUCUGAGAGGAAGGUCCCCCANAUUGGAACUGAGACACGGUCCAAACUCCUACGGGAGCAGCAGUGAGGAAUAUUGGUCAAUGGUCGGCAGACUGAACCAGCCAAGUCGCGUGAGGGAAGACGGCCUACGGGUUGUAAACCUCUUUUGUCGGAGAGUAAAGUACGCUACGUGUAGUGUAUUGCAAGUAUCCGAAAGAAAAAGCAUCGGACUAACUCCGUGCCAG